RNAcentral lists this unclassified non-coding RNA (329 nucleotides) under soil metagenome. RNAcentral describes it as "partial contains 5.8S ribosomal RNA, internal transcribed spacer 2, and large subunit ribosomal RNA". The stretch from base 1 to 120 matches the Rfam family "5.8S ribosomal RNA", at positions 35 to 154 of the family's 154-position model. The record is from RNAcentral.
GAUGAAGAACGUAGCGAAAUGCGAUAAGUAAUGUGAAUUGCAGAAUUCAGUGAAUCAUCGAAUCUUUGAACGCACCUUGCGCUCCUUGGUAUUCCGAGGAGCAUGCCUGUUCGAGCGUCAUUACAACCCUCAAGCUCUGCUUGGUAUUGGGCCCCGCCAGUUCUGGCGGGCCCUAAAGUCAGUGGCGGUGCCUUCCGGCUCCGAGCGUAGUAAUUCUUCUCGCUCUGGAGACCCGGUUGUGUGCUUACCAACAACCCCCAAUUUUUUAAGGUUGACCUCGGAUCAGGUAGGGAUACCCGCUGAACUUAAGCAUAUCAAUAAGCGGAGGA